Molecule: long non-coding RNA, 2835 nt
Filed under: Macaca mulatta (Rhesus monkey)
Lineage: Eukaryota; Metazoa; Chordata; Mammalia; Primates; Cercopithecidae
Description: lncRNA (ENSMMUG00000053851.1)
Source: RNAcentral
GAGGUUUGAACCACUGGAAAAAGUAUGUUAUAUAUAGUAGGGUUAGAGAGGCAAGUAAGAGAGAGAGAGAGAGAAAAAAAAAAAAAAAAAAAAACAAUAAACACCACAGCUCUUUCCAGCUAGAAUAUUAGGCACCACGAGAAAAAUAUUUGCCAAGCAGUUUUCGACUGGAAACUGAAGCACAGAAAGGUGAAGUAGCUUGCCCAAAGUCAAGCAACUAAUAAAAAGCAGUGCUGGGAUUUGAACCCUAGCAAUCUGAAGUCUUUAAUCUUAGCUAUUAAUGUUUUACUGCCUUAUGAAUGAAGGAUAGAACUUCAACAGUUCAAUCUGCAAUCUAAAAUGGCUAAAUGCACCAGAUGACCCCGGCCUCCUUCACCCCUCACAUCCUGUGAUUGGUGAAAGGAGAAGAAUUAAUCACCAGAACCUGGUGCACGAGGAAUAAAUCGCUCCUCAUUUGCACGCUGGCACAUCCCCAGGAAGAAUGGGGUCUCCCUCUGUCACCCAGACUGGAGUGUAGUGGCACAAUCACUGCUCACUGCAGCCUCGCCCUCCCAGGCUCAAGCGAUCCUCCCACCUCAGCCUCCCAAGUAGCUGGGACUACAGACAAGGCAACUCAACUGAGGACCAGACCAGUUAAAAGACUUGCCUGUGCUUUCACAACUAGGAAGGAGAGAAUCCAGGAUUCGGAAACAGACAGCCCAGCCCCAGAGCUAACGCCCUCACCCUCCCUAGCCUACUCACGUGAAGAUGAUGAGGAUGAAGACCUUUACGGUGAUCCACUUCCACUUAAUAAAUACUCCACUGAAGGCAUGGCUGACGUGGCUGCAGAAGAUCUUCAGGCAUGCAAAUCCCUAUGCCCAGCACAUUUCCGUGGACCCCUUCUGCUCCCUUGACAAUACUUGCUCCUUCCUACUCCACUCUUCACCUGGAUGGCCCUUCCCUUCAGGAUUCAGCUUGGGCCCAACUUCGCCUGGAUUAUCCUGCUCCUGUUUCCCCAGGAGCCAGCCGGAUGUGAACUCAAUAAGGGCAGAGAUUGUCCUCUCUUGUUGACUGAGGUAUGGCUGCUGCCUAGUGAACCUGGUUGCAUGGAAGAGAAGCCAUAACCUUCCUGCCUGACACUAAGAGGCUGGGUGAAGAAGAUUGGAGAUUUUCAUUUAUUUGUUUGUUUUAUUUGCCUAUGAACUUCUCCAGCUGAUUUCCUGCCUCCUGCAGGAACCUCUUGGACACCUAAACAGGCCUGCAAGCAUUCCCAGAUUUCCUGGGGCAAAGAUUAUCCUCCUAGUUUCUAAACAAAAUUCCCUAAGGAAUGGAGAGAUUUGGGAAUAUUCUGCUACGGAAUGUCAGAGCUGGAAGAUACCUUACGGAUCAUCUAGUUCAACCAAUUUGUUUUACAUAUGAAGAGACCGCCUUGGAAGCUUGUCUGAGGUCACAAGGCCAUUCAAGGGGCAAGUGAGACUAGAACACAGGUCUUCUAGUGGUCACUCUAAUGUCUCUCUCUACAAACAUAAGGCCAUGCUGCCCCUGACCUUGCUCAGCAUCUGUCUGAAGGUUCUGCCUGAAAUGAACCUGGAUGAGCGCAAACAUCACAAAGACCCACCCGAAGCUUUGCUGAGACCAUUUGGAUGACCUUCCAUGACAUUGAAGAACUCUGUAAUGAGGGAAGUAGCUGGACAUUAUAUGUCCCCAAGACUCCCAAAAGAAACAUAUGGUGACUGACACAAGACCAUGUCCAAAGAUGGCAGCCAGAGCUGAUAGAGGGUGAUGUCUUUAGAACAGCAGACUCCUGGAUCCCGGGAGAACCCUGGAGAGCAUCUAAAAUAGAAAGCAGCACUUCAGUAUGCAAGAGAGGUCUUGUCUUCUCGAAGUGACCCUGCUAUUUCCAGCCAUGUAACACUGGGCAAGACACUCCCCGUCUCCAGUACUCAGUUACCAAGCAUAUCAAAUAAACAGGUUGGGUUAGAUAAUACCACAGUAUUAUCUAAUACUUUCGGGUAUCUGGUACGAUCUGAUAGUUUUUUGUUCUGCAAAAGACUACAUGUCCUACUUUGACAGACAGAGAAAUGAAGGCUUAAAGAGGUCUGAUACUUUGCCUUCGGUUAUAAAGUGAGUUGGUGGCACAGUGGUGACCAGAGGCCUGGCCGGCAUUUUAUCCACUGCCCUGCAUGGCCAGAAUCAUCUCAUCCCCUGCCCUGUGGCCUCGUAGUAAAUUGUGCAAUUGCUCUCAUAGGGCUGUUGCAAUUGACCUCUUCUCUAACUCUUGGGACUGCUGGCAGCAUUCAGAGAGCUACCGGAGAGGGCUCUAAGCUGUCUCUGUCCUGGAAGUGGAGCAUGGGUCAGGCGGCUCUUUCUUCUCUCUCCCUGUUGAAAUGAAACUAAAACAAAACUUCUUAAUUUGGAGGCAGAGGGGCCAGAGGGGAGAUGCCCCUCAGCCUCUGCAAAGUCCAGCAUCUCUUUCCCUUCUUUAGGAGAUAGAGGAGUCUCCUGCCUGAGUCUCUGCAGAAUGAAGCCAGAUGACGAGUUAGAACCUGAGCAAAGUAGCAUGACCCAGGAAAAGAAAUACCUGGAAAGGUGCAGAAAGACUUCAAUCAGCAUGGCUCACAGACUUACUUUCUGUGUGACCUUCAGUCACUUUGGAUCCCAUCCAUAAACAGGGAAGAGGUGAACAGAAAAAAAAAAAAAUGGAAUGAUGUUAUUUCAACCUAAUAUUACUUUUAAGACUUACAACUUCUCUUGGGGCCAGAUAUGGAAAGCAUUUUCCUCAUCUACUUCCUUUUCAAUACGGUAGAAAAACUGUUUUUAAAGAAGGGCAAUUAAAAUAAACUGGCCCUGAAUGAU